RNAcentral lists this transfer RNA (72 nucleotides) under Pangasianodon gigas (Mekong giant catfish). RNAcentral's name for it is "tRNA-Lys". It matches the Rfam family "tRNA". From Rfam's summary of the family: Transfer RNA (tRNA) molecules are approximately 80 nucleotides in length. The record is from RNAcentral. Lineage: Eukaryota; Metazoa; Chordata; Actinopteri; Siluriformes; Pangasiidae.
UCCCUGGAGGACUAGUGGGUAGGCCACGGUACUCUUACUGCCGCAGCCUGGGUUCGAUUCCCAGCCAGGAAA